GUUGAAAGUGAACGCAUCCGCAAGGAGCAGACGUGCGAUCCUGGGCAUCUCGGUGCCUGGGCGCAACAUGGCCCCAUCCCGAUUGCUUGCAAUGGGGUGGAGGAAGAGCGUACGCGGUGAGACCCGAAAGAUGGUGAACUAUUCCUGAGCAGGAUGAAGCCAGAGGAAACUCUGGUGGAAGUCCGAAGCGAUUCUGACGUGCAAAUCGAUCGUCUGUACUUGGGUAUAUG
RNAcentral lists this ribosomal RNA (230 nucleotides) under Pratylenchus vulnus (walnut meadow nematode). Its description in RNAcentral is "partial large subunit ribosomal RNA". It matches the Rfam family "Eukaryotic large subunit ribosomal RNA", at positions 707 to 921 of the family's 3401-position model. Lineage: Eukaryota; Metazoa; Nematoda; Chromadorea; Rhabditida; Pratylenchidae. The record is from RNAcentral.